AUGGUCCAGAUGUCGCUGACAAAGGAGGAGUACAGCUGGUUUUCCGACUUCCUCAAAUUCAAGCACUGUCUCUUAGGGGGAAAGAAGGCCCAGCACUUCUUUUUCAAUUCAACAAACACUCAGAUGAAGAACCUGCCUGCCUACCUGAGGGAGGUGUGGAAGGAGAUGGGUCUGCCCGAAUGUCCUUCAUUCACUGACCUGAGGACCUCCAUUGUCACUCAUGUAAAAAACAUGCUCCCAAAGGUUGACAGGGAAAGGGUGGCCAACUUCAUGUGCCACAACAUCCAGACGGCAGACAAAUAUUAUGCCAUGAAUUUAAAUCCAACCCAAGCAAAUGAAACCAGGGCACUCUUUGAGGCUGCACUGAAGGGGGAAGAUAACACAGUCGCCGCAGAGAACCAGCCCUCCACCUCAGGAGAAAGAAAGCAGAAGGUGAGAGAGGAUGCCUCCCUCUCCGACGGGAGCACCACCCCUGAAGAGACCAAGGUGAUGUACCAGGAGUCUGGCACGUCCGCCGGUGACUCGGAAGAGGAGGAAGAGGAUGAAGAUGAGGAACAGAUGGCCAGACAACUUCCAGUAAGAUCAGCUAUUCUGACAGGACACAUUUGAUUAUCAAAAUGUACUUGUAAACUAUGUAACAGUCAAGUGUGAAUUCUGAGAUAUAUCUAAUUUCUUGUGUUUGCUCUGUCAGGAGACACCUUCCAAGGUGACCAAUCCUCAGGUGGAGAUGGAACUUACCCCAAAGAGGAAGCGGAGCAUCUGCACACGCCGCAUGGAGGUCGCCAUCAGCCCCAUGC
RNAcentral lists this long non-coding RNA (797 nucleotides) under Oncorhynchus mykiss (rainbow trout). RNAcentral describes it as "lncRNA (ENSOMYG00000060693.1)". Lineage: Eukaryota; Metazoa; Chordata; Actinopteri; Salmoniformes; Salmonidae. The record is from RNAcentral.